CAUGAGAGGUGCUUACCUGUGUCUGUCCAAGGAGUGUUUUCAGGAAAGCACCAAGCCUAAGGAACUCUGAACUCUUCCCGAGUGAAAGCAGGAUCUAGAGUCAACAUCUUCCACAGAAGCCAUCCCAGCUCAGCUUAAAUUAUAAACAUAAAUUUGUUCAAAUCUGCGUGGUGCUUCUUUACUAAAUACUGAACAGAUUUUACCAUGAAUUUUUUUUUAACCUUUUCUUAAUUGCCCUUAUUCCAAAAGGAUGAACACUUUCUACAACUGCUGACCAUUGUAAAAUACCGUGUAUAUAAAUCACAUUGAAAAUAAUGCCCUGGAAUAGAACAUCUCAAAUGCUGCUUAAUUACAGACUCAGGUUGAUUACUUGUAUCUCAUGUAAUGUUCCUCCAAGUUAGACGUCUGGUGCAAGGCCAACCGGGAAACCAUGGAAUUAUUAAAAGUACAAACUGACAGUGCGUGUAUUUAAUUUAAAGGCUUAUUUAAAAAUGUACAAGCUCUCAACUAGACUUCUGAGGGCAGUCUGUUUUCUGUAUUGUCUGAUACUAGAAACUAAUUUGCUUCAUAUUUUAGUUGUAUUCAAGAUUUGAAAAUGUAUUUUAUAGACAAGUUCUGUUUUUGAACUUUGUGGAACUAUUCCAAUCAACCUACCAGUUAUGAUGAGUAUUCACAUUAUGAAUGUAUAAUCCAAACAUUAUUUGUAAAGCUUACAGUAUGUUUUUAUUAUAUAACUUUUUUAUACUGUGUCUCGUCAACUGUAUGAUUAUUGGAGUCUGAGUUGUCAGCUUGGUCCCUUAAAGUUUCUAGUUACAGACAAAAUCAUACUGUGAUUUUAUUUUUAAUAUGGAUAUGCUAUCAAACUGUGAUACUUAUAAUUCACUGGUCCUGCAUCAGGAGAUGGAGUGGGGAAAACUGUAUUUCUAUCUGAAUAAUCUGUAUGGUUUAUACAGUUUGUGUUGUUCAGAGAUGUCUAAAGUUUGAUCUUUGUUUUUUUAAAGAUUAAAAAAGCACUUGCCCCACUGUAAAUAUACAGCAUGUAAAAUUUAUAUAGACUAUAAAUGGCAGCAAAUUAAACAUUUUGUGUCAUUUUUUUACUUCUGUUUUCCCCAUUUGCUUCCCGCCAUGUCUUCUCUGUCUUUAUGUUCACUUUUCUUAAAACCCAGUAAAGCUCUGGCUACCAUCUCAGCAGGUGCCUCAAACCCUGGAGAUGGGCCAGGGAAAACCAGGUGCUGGUUUGCUGGAACCAACACAUCUCUAUUUAAAGAAGCAAGUCUUAGACAACCUUGUUUUAACAAUGUAUGUGAUUUUUAUUUAGUGAAGACAAUAUUCACAAGUUUUAACAGCCAUACACCCUUCAGUUUUACUGUUUACUUUUGAUAAAUAGAAUAUUCAUGCAAGUUACAGGAUGUAUAUACAUUGAAUAACAAAACACUCCAGAAAGCAAUAUAUGUACACUAUUUACAUAUGAACUAUAGGUAAAUAGAAAUGUUUUCUAAGGAAAAAAUAAGAUGAGAAAUCACAAUUUGGGGUUUCUGGUCUGUAAUAGACCUAACUUUGCAGCAAAGCACAUCUGUAGAUAAUAUGCCCUUGUAAGUUUGAAAACAGGCAUUGCUUUAUAUGAAGCAUUAAAUGCUGCUUCAUCUAUUAACAGCUCUUGCUUUGAUUCCAUUUGGUGCCACAUUAAACUACUUGAAAGUGUUUCAGGACCCUCUAGGUAACGGUGGCU
RNAcentral lists this long non-coding RNA (1729 nucleotides) under Heterocephalus glaber (naked mole-rat). RNAcentral's name for it is "lncRNA (ENSHGLG00000044743.1)". Lineage: Eukaryota; Metazoa; Chordata; Mammalia; Rodentia; Bathyergidae. The record is from RNAcentral.